RNAcentral lists this unclassified non-coding RNA (380 nucleotides) under uncultured bacterium. RNAcentral describes it as "contains 16S-23S intergenic spacer region". The record is from RNAcentral.
UCCGGUUUGUCACCGGCAGUCCCAUUAGAGUGCCCAACUAAAUGAUGGCAACUAAGGGCGAGGGUUGCGCUCGUUGCGGGACUUAACCCAACAUCUCACGACACGAGCUGACGACAGCCAUGCAGCACCUGCGCAUAAGUCCCUUGCGGGAGGUUCUGGCUUUCACCAAAAUUUCCUAUGCAUGUCAAACCCAGGUAAGGUUCUUCGCGUUGCAUCGAAUUGAGCCACAUACUCCACCGCUUGUGCAGGCCCCCGUCAAUUUCUUUGAGUUUUAAUCUUGCGACCGUACUCCCCAGGCGGCACAUUUAGCGCGUUAGCUUCGCCACAAAAGGGGUCGAUUCCUCUUACAGCAAAUGUGCACCGUUUACGGCUAGGACUAC